UAUAAGCUCGAUAGUUCCGACUCGGUAGAUCUGGAGCGCAUGUGGCCCCUAGAGUCCCCAAAUGAGGUUUCCUUUUUGCACAUUAAGCUAACAGCAUCAUCGCCAAAGGAGCCACAAGAGGUUCCCUCUGUGGCCUCUGAAGCGACAGGCAUUUGCCCUCCUGACCUCAGCUCAUCUGGGGAAAAGGAAAGACAAAUGCUACAAGAUGUAACAUGAUUUUAAUCAUAUUUUUGUAGUCUUUUUAUUGUCUUCUGUUUUAAAUGCCUCAUACCUUUUUAACCCUACUGCUCAUGGCCCUCACCAUCUCUACUAUCAAUGUCAGAAGUGUGAGGUCCACCAUUAGAGCACAGAGUAUUUUGUCCUUUUUAAAAUCUUUUAAGUCAGAUUUGUUUUUAUUACAAGAGUGUUCUCUGCCCUUUUUAACUAGGUACACAAAAAUGGAAGAGCUAUGGUCCGCAGGAGCCUCCAUAUGGAGCGGAUCAAAUUUUAACAAAAACGACGGAGUUGCGGUUUUAAUUAAUAAUCCUAACAUCUUGGUGAAGGGCAGCACUGUGCCCCCCUCGGUGGUUCCUGGGGAAACUGGAGAGGGCGGUGUUUUACUUCCUGUGGGGGUCCAAGUGGGAGCGCCUGAAGAGGGAGACCAUCAAGAAAAGGCCGGAGAACGGAGGAAAAGGCCUCCCAGACCCCCACCUGUUUUUAGGCAGCCGCUUCACCGCCCUGCACAUUAGUUAUGCCACGACCCCAUCCAAAGAAAACAAGACGGCUGCAAUGGCGCGAUUUUGGAUGGGGUCUUACCUACGAACACUGAAAAUUUUACCAGUGGACUUGAAAACCCCAGUGUCUUUUAACUUGCCCAAAGAGUACAGUUUUAUAAAAAAGUUUUUAAAGAAAUACCUUUUAGAGAGUGAAGAUGUCACCAUUUUAACUCAACACAAGUCUCUCAUCUCUGUU
RNA transcript from Carassius gibelio (silver crucian carp), 951 nucleotides. RefSeq lists it as uncharacterized. The transcript is spliced from 2 exons. The record is from RefSeq and is a predicted model, not a curated record. Lineage: Eukaryota; Metazoa; Chordata; Actinopteri; Cypriniformes; Cyprinidae.